RNAcentral lists this ribosomal RNA (440 nucleotides) under uncultured bacterium. RNAcentral describes it as "partial 16S ribosomal RNA". It matches the Rfam family "Bacterial small subunit ribosomal RNA", at positions 338 to 795 of the family's 1533-position model. The record is from RNAcentral.
CCUACGGGUGACAGCAGUGGGGGAUAUUGCACAAUGGGGGGAACCCUGAUGCAGCGACGCCGCGUGGGUGAAGAAGCGCCUCGGCGCGUAAAGCCCUGUCAGCAGGGAAGAAAAUGACGGUACCUGAAGAAGAAGCCCCGGCUAACUACGUGCCAGCAGCCGCGGGAAUACGUAGGGGGCAAGCGUUAUCCGGAUUUACUGGGUGUAAAGGGGGUGCAGAGGGGGAUGCAAGCCCGGAGUGAAAGCCCGGGGCCCCACCCCGGGACUGCUGUUGGAACUGCGUGGCUGGAGUGCAGGAGGGGCAGGCGGAAUUCCUGGUGUAGCGGUGAAAUGCGUAGAUAUCGGGAGGAACACCGGAGGCGAAGGCGGCCUGCUGGACUGCAACUGACGUUGAGGCCCGAAAGCGUGGGGAGCGAACAGGAUUAGAUACCCCAGUAGUC